Molecule: ribosomal RNA, 468 nt
Filed under: uncultured bacterium
Lineage: Bacteria
Description: partial 16S ribosomal RNA
Rfam family: Bacterial small subunit ribosomal RNA
Source: RNAcentral
GAUGAACGCUGGCGGCGUGCUUAACACAUGCAAGUCGAACGGAAAGGCCCAAGCUUGCUUGGGUACUCGAGUGGCGAACGGGUGAGUAACACGUGGGUGAUCUGCCCUGCACUUCGGGAUAAGCCUGGGAAACUUGGUCUAAUACUGGAUAGGACCACUUCUUGGAUGGUGUGGUGGAAAGUUUUUUCGGUGUGGGAUGAGCUCGCGGCCUAUCAGCUUGUUGGUGGGGUAAUGGCCUACCAAGGCGUCGACGGGUAGCCGGCCUGAGAGGGUGUACGGCCACAUUGGGACUGAGAUACGGCCCAGACUCCUACGGGAGGCAGCAGUGGGGAAUAUUGGACAAUGGGCGCAAGCCUGAUGCAGCGACGCCGCGUGGGGGAUGACGGCCUUCGGGUUGUAAACUCCUUUCGCUAGGGACGAAGCGUUUUUGUGACGGUACCUGGAGAAGAAGCACCGGCUAACUACGUG